Molecule: unclassified non-coding RNA, 388 nt
Filed under: uncultured fungus
Lineage: Eukaryota; Fungi
Description: sequence contains ITS2
Source: RNAcentral
AACGCAAAUUGCGCUCUUGGGUAGCCCUAGGAGCACGCCUCUCUCAGUAUCGGUUCAACAACCUCUCAGCAGCGUAUGCGCAAGUAUACGUGUUGGCUGGAUAAUGAGAGUCUAGUCCUCACAGACUAGUCUCUUGAAAUACAUUGAGUGAGCAUCACAUUUUACACUUUCUUUAAUGAAAAGCUGGUCUCUGACUGGUUGUGUAUAAGUGACGUGAAUACUGAGCCUUGUGCUCUAUCGUUUACGUGUAACUUAUGCAUAACUAUUAAGGUCUAGGAUUGGUGUGUAAAAUACUGCUCAUGUAACGCGGCGCAAGCUGCAAUCGAUUUCAAUUUAUUGAAGUCUGUAUAUUGAUCUGAGAUGAAGCGAGACAACCCCCUGAAUUUAA